This 211-nucleotide unclassified non-coding RNA is filed under the name Hevea brasiliensis (rubber tree). The record is from RNAcentral. Lineage: Eukaryota; Viridiplantae; Streptophyta; Magnoliopsida; Malpighiales; Euphorbiaceae.
AUAUUAACUCAUUACUGGCAUCCUCCCAGCUUUCGUUCGUCUCCUUGGCGGCCUUGAUUUCGUCUUCGAGUUCAUGGAACCUGUUGUUGAGCCGCCCGAACUUGUUGAUGUUCAGCUGGUCCUCCCAUGUCACCUCCGUGUCAGGCCCUGCCCCCUGCCGCAUCUCUUCAGUCGCCGUUGGUGCUGAUAGACCAAGAAACCCUAGUUUGCG